AUUGAACGCUGGCGGCAUGCCUUACACAUGCAAGUCGAACGGCAGCGGGCCUUCGGGUGCCGGCGAGUGGCGAACGGGUGAGUAAUAUAUCGGAACGUGCCUUUCAGUGGGGGAUAACGUAGCGAAAGUUACGCUAAUACCGCAUAUUCUCUGAGGAGGAAAGCAGGGGACCUUCGGGCCUUGCGCUGAUAGAGCGGCUGAUAUCAGAUUAGCUAGUUGGUGGGGUAAAGGCCUACCAAGGCGACGAUCUGUAGCGGGUCUGAGAGGAUGAUCCGCCACACUGGGACUGAGACACGGCCCAGACUCCUACGGGAGGCAGCAGUGGGGAAUUUUGGACAAUGGGCGAAAGCCUGAUCCAGCCAUGCCGCGUGAGUGAAGAAGGCUUUCGGGUUGUAAAGCUCUUUCGGCCGGGAAGAAAUCGCACGGGCUAAUACCUUGUGUGGAUGACGGUACCGGAAUAAGAAGCACCGGCUAACUACGUGCCAGCCGCCGCCGUAA
Molecule: ribosomal RNA, 498 nt
Filed under: uncultured bacterium
Lineage: Bacteria
Description: partial 16S ribosomal RNA
Rfam family: Bacterial small subunit ribosomal RNA
Source: RNAcentral